GGAGGCUGGCGGCGGACGAGUACGUCGCCAACCGGGUCAGGUCCGGAAGGAAGCAGCCCUAACGACAGGUGCACGGGUCGUUCGUCAGUCUCUAUA
Molecule: non-coding RNA, 96 nt
Organism: Hyphomicrobium nitrativorans NL23
Lineage: Bacteria; Pseudomonadati; Pseudomonadota; Alphaproteobacteria; Hyphomicrobiales; Hyphomicrobiaceae
Rfam family: Bacterial small signal recognition particle RNA
About the family: The signal recognition particle (SRP) is a universally conserved ribonucleoprotein involved in the co-translational targeting of proteins to membranes. Archaeal SRP consists of a 7S RNA and homologues of the eukaryotic SRP19 and SRP54 proteins. In most bacteria, the SRP consists of a 4.5S RNA and the Ffh protein (a homologue of the eukaryotic SRP54 protein).
Source: Rfam